This 182-nucleotide ribosomal RNA is filed under the name Serratia sp. M24T3. RNAcentral describes it as "partial 16S ribosomal RNA". It matches the Rfam family "Bacterial small subunit ribosomal RNA", at positions 1 to 177 of the family's 1533-position model. Lineage: Bacteria; Pseudomonadati; Pseudomonadota; Gammaproteobacteria; Enterobacterales; Yersiniaceae. The record is from RNAcentral.
AAUUGAAGAGUUUGAUCAUGGCUCAGAUUGAACGCUGGCGGCAGGCCUAACACAUGCAAGUCGAGCGGUAGCACGGGAGAGCUUGCUCUCUGGGUGACGAGCGGCGGACGGGUGAGUAAUGUCUGGGAAACUGCCUGAUGGAGGGGGAUAACUACUGGAAACGGUAGCUAAUACCGCAUGAU